Molecule: microRNA precursor, 105 nt
Organism: Sorghum bicolor (sorghum)
Lineage: Eukaryota; Viridiplantae; Streptophyta; Magnoliopsida; Poales; Poaceae
Rfam family: MIR5565 microRNA precursor family
Source: Rfam
GUAGUCAGAUUCGCAUCAAUCCACAUGUGUUGAGGUGGAUUGGAGUGGAAGUUCAAGUUCCACUCCAAUCCACCCCAACACAUGUGGAUUGAGGUGAAUCCGACA